GCGCGCGGCAAACCGGCUAUGAGUACUGCCCUCCGAAGGCAGGGGUCGUGCGUUCGAAUCGCGCCGGGCGCGCCA
Molecule: transfer RNA, 75 nt
Filed under: Thiobacillus sp. SCN 63-374
Lineage: Bacteria; Pseudomonadati; Pseudomonadota; Betaproteobacteria; Nitrosomonadales; Thiobacillaceae
Description: tRNA-Arg
Source: RNAcentral